UACGUAGGUGGCGAGCGUUGUCCGGAUUUACUGGGCGUAAAGAGCGCGCAGGCGGUCGUACAAGUCGCGUGUGAAAGCCCCCGGCUCAACUGGGGAGGGUCACGCGAUACUGCUCGACUCGAAGGCAGGAGAGGGAAGUGGAAUUCCCGGUGUAGUGGUGAAAUGCGUAGAUAUCGGGAGGAACACCAGUGGCGAAGGCGACUUCCUGGCCUGUUCUUGACGCUGAGGCGCGAAAGCUAGGGUAGCAAACGGG
Molecule: ribosomal RNA, 253 nt
Filed under: uncultured bacterium
Lineage: Bacteria
Description: partial 16S ribosomal RNA
Rfam family: Bacterial small subunit ribosomal RNA
Source: RNAcentral